This 1266-nucleotide small RNA is filed under the name Vigna angularis var. angularis. RNAcentral describes it as "Non-protein coding transcript". The record is from RNAcentral. Lineage: Eukaryota; Viridiplantae; Streptophyta; Magnoliopsida; Fabales; Fabaceae.
GAAAAGGGUACCAUGUAUCGGAAGAGAGAACCGACAUGUGAAGAAACUGAAAAGAAUGAGGGAUAUUCGCACGAGAAGUAGACCAAAAAGAAGAGUACGAAAAUCCCCAGCGGGAGACCUCAAGACCAUUGCAGGAGGCUUUUCAAGACAAUAUGUGAUGAAAAUCAACCUAAGGGGUUACAAUGAGUAAUUGGAUUACCAUUUCCGACACCACCUCGAAACAUCUCCGCUGUGAUCUUGAAGUCCUUCACCUCGGUUACCGUGAAACUCAGCCCCUGCCGAUUUAAAGUUGUUGAUGAGAUCAACCAAGGUCGGUUACUGUUUGAAGAAAAUUCUUUCUAGAUUUACACCAGCUCUCUAAAGAUGGUCUUUGACUGUGUUUUUCUCAGGGAUGCACCCAAUAAAUGAAAGGAAGAUGUUCCAGCAAUUAGUGAGAGCAGCAAGCAAGCCAAAUCCAUCACCCAUAGUUACAUGUACAGGGAAAACGUAGAUACAAGAAAACACAACGUUGAUUUGAGAAAAAUACAACACAAAAUACACAAUUCCUGGGGUACAGCAAAAGGUUGUGAUUUGGGAGGGAACAACAUCAAUGUAAAAACUUCCGUAUAACAUUGAAUGAAGAUUCAAUUGAGAAACAUAGUUUCUAGACUCUGCGUUGCUCACACGUGGAUUGCACCCUAAGUUGUUUCAUGUAACUAUAUUACUGAAACCCAUCAUGCCAAUAAGCAUAAAGCUGUAUCAGCUAUACACAAAUACGUUAAUCCAUCUGGGUUGGAUUCGACCACUUUCCAUGUUGCCUGCCAAAGGUUUGAAGAAAUGUCUGACCUAACUGUUGCUUCAGCAACGAUCAUAAUUCAAGGUUUCGUUAAGCGGCAUUGCUAUAAAGAUGCUAUCCAUAAUAAACGGGUCAUAAUAAAGAAGCUGUGAAUUCACCGAUACCUCCGCUCCGUCGCUGAUCAGAACUUAUCGUGUCUGGCAAGGCAGUAACGUAAGUAACAUGUAACUUUCUCCGAUCACUUAUAUGAUUCAUUUUUAGAUCAUCUUUCACCUCUCUGAGUUUGAUUCCGAGUUCUCUAUGUCAAUCAACACCGAGUUUAUUCGGGAGCAUGAGGAUACCAAAAAGACUCUAGAGUUUCUUGUUACGCUGUAGUGAAAUGGAUUGAAAUAUUUUCAACUCUGUGUUGUUUCUGCAUAAUUUGAAUUUUUCUGUUUAUUAAAAUAGUACUUGUAUUUGUUAUUUGUGAUGAUCUUUUGCUUUUCUGAAAU